This 241-nucleotide unclassified non-coding RNA is filed under the name Hevea brasiliensis (rubber tree). Lineage: Eukaryota; Viridiplantae; Streptophyta; Magnoliopsida; Malpighiales; Euphorbiaceae. The record is from RNAcentral.
AAUGGAACAAACCCAAUAAACAGAGCCACCCAAGACCCCCUUAAGCCGUCUUCAAUUAUCGAUAUAGUGACAACAGCGGUACUGUUGGUAGUACCAAGGAAAAAGUUGUAGAGAAAUUGAAGAAGCAUGAGAUGGAGAUGCUGAUGCUGAUGAAAAGAAAAGAGAAAAAACUAUAGAAAAUGACACAGAAAGGGAGCGUUUUGAUCCAAUGGCUUAAGAAAUACUAUGAUUUAAAAAAAAG